AUGCGGAACCUCAACAAGGCCCUCGCAGCGGCUGGCCUUGGCGGCAUCAAGGUGUCCACCGCGGUGAGGUUCAACGUGCUCACCAACUCCUUCCCGCCCUCCGCCGCCGUGUUCGCUCAGCCCUACAUGGUCGACAUCGCCCGGCACCUGGCCAGCACCAGGGCACAGCUACUCGCCAACGUGUACCCGUACUUUGCCUACAGCAACAACCCGAGGGACAUCAAGCUCGACUACGCGACGUUCCAGCCGGGCGCCACACCGGUGAGGGACGCCGACAGCGGGCUCGUCUACAAGAACCUCUUCAGCGCCAUGGUCGAUGCCAUGUACGCGGCGCUGAAGAAGGCGGGGGCGCCGAGCGUGAGGGUGGUAGUGUCGGAGAGCGGGUGGCCAUCCGCCGGCGGGCUCGCGGCGACACCGGAGAAUGCGCGGGCGUACAACCAGGGCCUCAUCAACCAUGUGGCACACGGCACGCCCAAGAAGCCUGGGCCCAUGGAGGCGUACGUGUUCGCCAUGUUCAAGGAGAACCAGAAGCCCGGGGUUGAGACUGAGAGGCACUUUGGGCUCUUCUAUCCCAACAAAACGCGGGUGUACCCCAUCAAUUUCAGAGGAAUAUUGGUUGCGGCCAACCACACAAACUCCCAUGGGCUUGGUGGACACUAG
RNAcentral lists this ribosomal RNA (660 nucleotides) under Triticum aestivum (bread wheat). Its description in RNAcentral is "partial small subunit ribosomal RNA". The record is from RNAcentral. Lineage: Eukaryota; Viridiplantae; Streptophyta; Magnoliopsida; Poales; Poaceae.